This 607-nucleotide non-coding RNA is filed under the name Ixodes scapularis (black-legged tick). Its description in RNAcentral is "Eukaryotic large subunit ribosomal RNA". It matches the Rfam family "Eukaryotic large subunit ribosomal RNA", at positions 1789 to 2312 of the family's 3401-position model. Lineage: Eukaryota; Metazoa; Arthropoda; Arachnida; Ixodida; Ixodidae. The record is from Rfam by way of RNAcentral.
GCGCUCGCGUCGGCCCUUGAAAAUCCGAGUGAGGGAGUGUGAUUUUCGUGCCGGACUGUACCCACAUCCGCAGCAGGUCUCCAAGGUGAACAGCCUCUAGUCGAUGGACCAAUGUAGGUAAGGGAAGUCGGCAAAACGGAUCCGUAACCUUGGGAUAAGGAUUGGCUCUGAGGACUGAGCCGGUCGGGCUGGGGACCUGAAGCAGGAACGGCACUGCACCGGGACUGGGCGGGGCUCGCCGUUCACGCGGCGCGGCCAAGCCCGGACCAGCGUCGGGACCUUCCUGUGGAAAGCCUCAGCUGCGCGGCGUCCGAGGGCUUCGUGCCCAAAGUGCUAUGCUUCGGCCGGCAAAAAACAGUCAACUCAGAACUGGCACGGACCGGGGGAAUCCGACUGUCUAAUUAAAACAAAGCAUUGCGAUGGCCGCUGGUCGGUGUUGACGCAAUGUGAUUUCUGCCCAGUGCUCUGAAUGUCAACGUGAAGAGAUUCAUCAAAGCGCGGGUAAACGGCGGGAGUAACUAUGACUCUCUUAGGUCACUGGCUGGGUCAUCUGGAGGUUUUGUCACCCCAUCGGGGCUGGCAGGUGUUGAGAGGACUGUGGAUUUGU